Molecule: long non-coding RNA, 854 nt
Filed under: Mytilus galloprovincialis (Mediterranean mussel)
Lineage: Eukaryota; Metazoa; Mollusca; Bivalvia; Mytilida; Mytilidae
Source: RNAcentral
CUGGAUCAAGCUUGUCCGUCGGGACAAGUACAAUUAUUCUGCAGAAAAUAAAUUUAAUCCAACUUUGAUGAACAAAGUAAUUUAUUAUAAACAAAAACAAGAAAACAAAUAUUAAUUUGGCAUGUUUCUGUAUUCUGCUUAUUCAAAUGCAAAACCUUUUUCUUCAACAUGUUUACUUGCAAUCGAUAAUUUUUAACUGGUUCUUUGUCAGGUACUUUUUAACAAGUAAAAGGUAUACUAUUCUCAGAAAACAGUCUUACUGAUCAGAAUCAAUGAUGCGCUUUGUAGAUAAGGUAACUUUACAGGACAGUUCGUCACCUCGAAAGAUUCAGCUCCAAUUGUUUAAGAGACAGUUUGGCACCGUAGGAGACAUAUUUAGUAGACAUGAUUGAUAGAGUUUGACAAGGCAGGAGACAUUUCGGGACCAAGACAAAUCAGUACCUCAUUUUGCUACCUUAUUCUGUUCCUUAUAAUAAAUACCAUACCAGUAAUUUUUUCACAAAAAUAUUUUUUUUAUUUACCAUAAAAUUCACAAAAUCAUAUUUGAUCAUAAGUAGAAAAAAAACAUUACUUGCAAUAUGGUGACCUAUAGUUGUUAAUUUCUGUGUCAUUUGGUCUUUUGCAGAGAGUUGUCUCAUUGGCAAUCAGACCUUAUGAUGGCUUAUCUUCUUUUUAUUGAUUGCAUUUGAAUAAACUUUUUUUUUAACUUAAAAAAAAAUACAAACAGAAUAUAAAUCCAAUGAGUGUACAGGCCUAUCAGAUGGUGCCUCAUGAUUAGAGUCUGAUGAGACUAGCAUUGAUGGAAACUAGAACCUAAUUCCUGUGAUAUGACUAGUUUCGCAGUUGUACUUGAC